AGGUUCGAGGUGGAAGCGCAGCAAUGCGUGCAGCUGACGAAUACUAAUCGGUCGAGGGCUUAUCCAAA
RNAcentral lists this ribosomal RNA (68 nucleotides) under Paenibacillus herberti. Its description in RNAcentral is "partial 23S ribosomal RNA". The record is from RNAcentral. Lineage: Bacteria; Bacillati; Bacillota; Bacilli; Caryophanales; Paenibacillaceae.